GACGAACGCUGGCGGCGUGCUUAACACAUGCAAGUCGAACGGAGAUGCUCCAGCUCGUUCGUGUGUAACAGUGGGGAACGGGUGAGUAAGACACGAGCAAUCUACCCCAGCUUCUGGAAUAGGCGCCAGAAAGGGCGGACAACUCAUGACACGAAACUGGUAAGCACGGCCUCGGGGUUGGAAGAUAUUCGGCUUCGGAUGGGCUCGCGGCCUUUCAGCUUGUUGGUGAGGUAAUGGCUCACCAAGGCGACGACGGGUAGCCGGCCUGAGAGGGAGACCGGCCACACUGGGACUGAGACACGGCCCAGACGCCUACGGGAGGCAGCAGUGGGGAAUAUUGCACAAUGGGCGAAAGCCUGAUGCAGCGACGCCGCGUUAGGGAUGACGGCCUUCGGGUUGUAAACCUCUUUCAGCAGGGAAGAAGCGAAAGUGACGGUACCUGCAGAAGAAGCACCGGCUAACUACGUG
This 468-nucleotide ribosomal RNA is filed under the name uncultured bacterium. Its description in RNAcentral is "partial 16S ribosomal RNA". It matches the Rfam family "Bacterial small subunit ribosomal RNA", at positions 28 to 507 of the family's 1533-position model. The record is from RNAcentral.